This 504-nucleotide ribosomal RNA is filed under the name uncultured bacterium. Its description in RNAcentral is "partial 16S ribosomal RNA". It matches the Rfam family "Bacterial small subunit ribosomal RNA", at positions 30 to 523 of the family's 1533-position model. The record is from RNAcentral.
AUUGAACGCUGGCGGCAGGCCUAACACAUGCAAGUCGAACGGUAGCACAGAGAGCUUGCUCUCGGGUGACGAGUGGCGGACGGGUGAGUAACGUCUGGGAAACUGCCCGAUGGAGGGGGAUAACUACUGGAAACGGUAGCUAAUACCGCAUCACGUCGCAAGACAAAAGUGGGGGACCUUCGGGCCUCACACAAUAGGAUGUGCCCAGAUGGGAUUAGCUAGUAGGUGGGGUAAUGGCUCACCUAGGCGACGAUCCCUAGCUGGUCUGAUAGGAUGACCAGCCACACUGGAACUGAGACACGGUCCAGACUCCUACGGGAGGUAGCAGUUGGGAAUAUUGCACAAUGGGCGCAAGCCUGAUGCAGCCAUGCCGCGUGUAUGAAGAAGGCCUUCGGGUUGUAAAGCCCUUUAGGCUGGGAAGAAGAUUGCGGGGUGAAUAAUCCUGUAAUUUGACGGUACCAGCAGAAUAAGCACCGGCAAACUCUGUGCCAGCAGCCGCCGUAA